This 510-nucleotide ribosomal RNA is filed under the name uncultured bacterium. Its description in RNAcentral is "bacterial SSU rRNA". It matches the Rfam family "Bacterial small subunit ribosomal RNA", at positions 17 to 518 of the family's 1533-position model. The record is from RNAcentral.
UCCUGGCUCAGGAUGAACGCUAGCGACAGGCUUAACACAUGCAAGUCGAGGGGCAGCAUAAAAGUAGCAAUACUUGGUGGCGACCGGCGCACGGGUGAGUAACGCGUAUGCAACCUACCUAUCAGAGGGGAAGUAACCCGGCGAAAGUCGGACUAAUACCGCAUAAAACAGGGGCACCGCAUGGUGAUAUUUGUUAAAGAAAUUCGCUGAUAGAUGGGCAUGCGUUCCAUUAGGUAGUUGGUGAGGUAACGGCUCACCAAGCCGACGAUGGAUAGGGGGACUGAGAGGUUGGUCCCCCACACUGGUACUGAGACACGGACCAGACUCCUACGGGAGGCAGCAGUGAGGAAUAUUGGUCAAUGGGCGGGAGCCUGAACCAGCCAAGUCGCGUGAAAGGAAGAAGGAUCUAUGGUUCGUAAACUUCUUUUGCAGGGGAAUAAAGUGCAGGACGUGUCCUGUUUUGUAUGUACCCUGAGAAUAAGGAUCGGCUAACUCCGUGCCAGCAGCUGC